Molecule: ribosomal RNA, 840 nt
Filed under: uncultured rumen archaeon
Lineage: Archaea
Description: bacterial SSU rRNA
Rfam family: Archaeal small subunit ribosomal RNA (bases 41-557)
Source: RNAcentral
CAGAAUACCUAAUUGCUGCCACACUCUCACUAGCGGAAAGAUGAUUGAUCCUACCAGAUGCUACUGCUAUUGGGGUUCGAUUAUACACGCAAGUUGAACGAUUCCUCGGAAUCGUGGCGAACGGCACAGUAACACGUGGAUAACCUACUCCUUAGGACCGGUAUAACCAUGGGUAACUGGGGACAAUCCCUGAUAGGUGAUUUUUUCUGUAAUGAUUCUCUCAAUUUAAAUGCAUCUGGCGCCUGAGGAUGGGUCUGCGGCACAUUAGGUAGUUGGUAGGGUAAUGGCCUACCAAAUCGGUGAUCUGAACGGGUUGUGAGAUCUAUAUCCCGGAGAUUGGAACCUGAGGACAAGGUGUAAGGCCCUACGUGGGCGCUAUCAGGCGCGAAACCUCCGCAAUGCGAGAACUCCCGACCGGGGGACUCCCAGUUGCCACUCUUAACGGAGACAGGCUUUUCAUUAAGAUGUAACAUAAGCUUUUGAAAUCAUACAGUCUAGGGGCAUAUAUCUGUGACAGCCGCUCUCGGGUAAACCAGCGCAACUCUAAGUGGAUACCAUUUUUAUUGGGCAUACAACGUUUCGUUGCCAGGUUCAUUAAGCUUUGGGUGGAUAAUCGCUGUAUAACUUACAUUUGCGAUAUAUCGGUCAUCAUAUUUAAAUAGAAGUUGGGAAAACUUUUCAGGUACUCCAGCGAUACGGUAUAAACUCUUAAAUCCAGGGAGAAUACUAUGGUAUAAGUCGGCACUUGAACAAUUUAAAGCGAGACACCAACCCAGUCGCCUAACUCCAUAUUACCCGAGCAUCAUUCAAUUUCUAAUGGACAGUGUUCGCUUGUCUUAC